UACGGAAGGGGCAAGCGUUGUUCGGAAUUAUUGGGCGUAAAGGGAGCGUAGGCGGUUAUGAAAGUGGAACUUUUCAGCGACGGGCUCAACCUGUCGAUCGGUUCCAAACUCCAUAGCUUGAGUCCGCUAGAGGGUACUGGAAUUCCCGGUGUAGGGGUGAAAUCUAUAGAUAUCGGGAGGAACACCAAUGGCGCAGGCAGGUACCUGGGGCUGGACUGACGCUGAUGCUCGAAAGCUAGGGGAGCAAACG
Molecule: ribosomal RNA, 250 nt
Filed under: uncultured bacterium
Lineage: Bacteria
Description: partial 16S ribosomal RNA
Rfam family: Bacterial small subunit ribosomal RNA
Source: RNAcentral